CGAGACGCGCGUGAAUCAUCGAAUCUUUGAACGCAUCUUGCGUCCCCUUAUGGGGGGCAUAUCUGUUCGAGCGUGACGAAGUUAUUGCGCGAGGGAUGAGGGAUGGGAGUGGGAAUGGGAAUGGGAUGUUGAGUUUGACAGUAAUGUUGAGCCUCAGUAUCUCAAGUUUGACAGCAAUGUUGAACCUCAUUUCAUUGAACUUUCUCACCUCGGCGUCUUGGCCAAUCAUCUUUGUCGGCUGAAAUUGAUAUUGGGAGUGUGAGGAAAUAAGGAGGGGAGGAUGAGGGGGGUGUGAACACAUUCGUCUGUAAACACAUUCGUCUGUGAACACACAUUCGUCUCAUCGCUUCAAUUCCACUUCAAUUCACAAAACCCCAUAAUCUCCAAUCAUCUCGAAUCAGACAAGACUACCCGCUGAACUUAAGCAUAUCAAUAAGCGGAGG
Molecule: ribosomal RNA, 443 nt
Filed under: Diptera environmental sample
Lineage: Eukaryota; Metazoa; Arthropoda; Insecta; Diptera
Description: eukaryotic LSU rRNA
Rfam family: Eukaryotic large subunit ribosomal RNA (bases 388-443)
Source: RNAcentral